This 17954-nucleotide long non-coding RNA is filed under the name Zea mays. RNAcentral's name for it is "long non-coding RNA (ZMAY_LNC004380)". The record is from RNAcentral. Lineage: Eukaryota; Viridiplantae; Streptophyta; Magnoliopsida; Poales; Poaceae.
AGGGAGACCCUCACGUUCGAGGUGGUCGGGUUCCGAGGAACCUACCACGCAGUACUGGGGAGGCCAUGCUACGCGAAGUUCAUGUUCGUCCCCAACUACACCUACCUCAAGCUCAAGAUGUCGGGCCCCAACGGGGUCAUCACCGUCGGCCCCACGUACCGACACGUGUACGAAUGCGACGUGGAGUGCGUGGAGUACGCCGAGGCCCUCGCCGAAUCCGAGGCCCUCAUCGCCGACCUGGAGAGCCUCUGUAAGGAGGUGCCAGACGUGAAGCGCCACGCCGGCAACUUCGAGCCAGCGGAGACGGUUAAAUCCGUCCCCCUCGACCCCAGCAGCGACGCCUCCAAGCAGAUCCGGAUCGGCUCCGAGCUCGAUCCCAAAUAGGAAGCAGUGCUCGUCGACUUUCUCCGCGCGAACGCCGACGUUUUCGCGUGGAGUCCCUCGGACAUGCCCGGCAUACUGAGGGAUGUCGCCGAGCACUCGCUAGAUAUCCGAGCUAGAGCCCGACCCGUGAAGCAGCCUCUGCGCCGAUUCGACGAAGAAAAGCGCAGAGCCAUAGGCGAGGAGAUCCACAAGCUAAUGGCGGCAGGGUUCAUCAAAGAGGUAUUUCACCCCGAAUGGCUUGCCAACCCUGUGCUUGUGAGAAAGAAAGGAGGGAAAUGGCGGAUGUGUGUAGACUACACUGGUCUAAACAAAGCAUGUCCGAAAGUUCCCUACCCUCUGCCUCGCAUCGAUUAAAUCGUGGAUUCCACUGCUGGGUGCGAAACCCUGUCUUUCCUCGAUGCCUACUCGGGGUAUCACCAAAUCAGGAUGAAAGAGUCCGACCAGCUCGCGACUUCUUUCAUCACACCCUUCGGCAUGUACUGCUAUGUUACCAUGCCGUUCGGCUUGAGGAAUGCGGGUGCAACGUACCAACGGUGCAUGAACCACGUGUUCGGCGAACACAUUGGCCGGAUGGUCGAGGCCUACGUCGAUGACAUCAUAGUCAAGACGAGGAAAGCCUCCGACCUCCUUUCCGACCUUGAAGUGACAUUCCGAUGUCUCAAGGCGAAAGGCGUGAAGCUCAAUCCCGAGAAGUGUGUCUUCGGGGUUCCCUGAGGCAUGCUCUUGGGGUUCAUCGUCUCUAAGCGGGGCAUCGAGGCCAACCCGGAGAAGAUCGCAGCCAUCACCAGCAUGGGGCCCAUCAAGGACUUAAAAGGCGUACAGAGAGUCAUGGGAUGCCUUGCGGCUCUGAGCCGCUUCAUCUCGCGCCUCGGCGAAAGAGGCCUGCCUCUAUACUGUCUCUUAAGGAAGGCCGAGUGCUUCACUUGGACCCCUGAGGCCGAGGAAGCCCUCGGGAACCUGAAGGCGCUCCUCACGAAUGCGCCCAUCUUGGUGCCCCCCGCUGCCGGAGAAGCCCUCUUGAUCUACGUCGCCGCGACCACUCAGGUGGUUAGCGCCGCGAUUGUGGUUGAGAGACAAGAAGAGGGGCAUACAUUGCCCGUCCAGAGGCCAGUCUACUUCAUCAGUGAGGUACUGUCCGAGACCAAGAUCCGCUACCCACAAAUUCAGAAGCUGCUAUACGCAGUGAUCCUGACGCGGCGGAAGUUGCGACACUACUUCGAGUCUCAUCCGGUAACUGUGGUGUCAUCCUUCCCCCUGGGGGAGAUCAUCCAGUGCCGAGAGGCCUCGGGUAGAAUUGCAAAGUGGGCGGUGGAAAUCAUGGGUGAUACGAUCUCGUUCUCCCCUCGGAAGGCCAUCAAGUCCCAGGUGUUGGCGGACUUCGUGGUUGAAUGGGUCGACACCCAGCUCCCAACAGCUCCGAUCCAACCGGAACUCUGGACCAUGUUCUUCGACGGGUCGCUGAUGAAGACAGGUGCAGGCGCAGGCCUGCUCUUCAUCUCGCCCCUCGGGAAGCACCUAUGCUACGUGCUACGCCUCCACUUCCCGGCGUCCAACAAUGUGGCUGAGUAUGAGGCUCUGGUCAACGGUUUGCGCAUUGCCAUCGAGCUAGGGGUCUGACGCCUCGACGCUCGCGGUGACUUGCAGCUCGUCAUCGACCAAGUCAUGAAGAACUCCCACUGCCGCGACCCGAAGAUGGAAGCCUACUGCGAUGAGGUUCGACACCUGGAAGACAAGUUCUACGGGCUCGAGCUCAACCACAUCGCCCGACUCUACAACGAGACUGCGGACGAGCUGGCUAAUAUAGCCUCGGGGCGAACAACGGUUCCCCCGGACGUCUUCUCCCGAGACCUGCAUCAACCCUCCGUCAAGACCGACGACACGCCCGAGCCCGAGAAGCCCUCGGCCCAACCUGAGGCACCCUCGGCUCAGUCCGAGGUACCCUCAGCUCGGCCCGAGGCACCCUCGGCCCAACCCGAGGCACCCUCGACUCAGUCCGAGGCACCCUCGGCCCAUCCCGAGGCACCCUCGGUUCGGCCCGAGGUACCCUCGGCCCCCGAGGGUGAGGCACUGCGCAUCGAGGAGGAGCGGAGCGGGGUCACGCCUAAUCGAAACUGGCAGACCCCGUACCUGCAAUAUCUCCACCAAGGAGAGCUACCCCUCGACCAAGCUGAAGCUCGGCGGUUGGCGCGGCGCGCCAAGUCGUUCGUCUUGCUGGGAGACGGGAAGGAGCUCUACCACCGCAGCCCCUCAGGCAUCCUCCAGCGAUGCAUUCCCAUCGCCGAAGGUCAGGAGCUCCUACAAGAGAUACACUCGGGGCUUGCGGCCAUCACGCAGCGCCUCGAACCCUUGUUGGAAACGCCUUUCAACAAGGUUUCUACUGGCCGACGGCGGUGGCCGACGCCACUAGAAUUGUCCGCACCUGCGAAGGGUGUCAGUUCUAUGCAAGGCAGACCCACCUGCCUUCUCAGGUCCUGCAGAUGAUACCCAUCACCUGGCCUUUUGCUGUGUGGGAUCUGGACCUCGUCGGCCCCUUGCAGAAGGCACCCGGGGGUACACGCACCUGUUGGUCGCCAUCGACAAAUUCUCCAAGUGGAUCGAGGUCCGACCCCUAAACAGCAUCAGGUCCGAAUAGGCGGUGGCGUUCUUCACCAACAUCAUUCAUCGCUUUGGGUCCCGAACUCCAUCAUCACCGACAACGGCACCCAGUUCACCGGCAGAAAGUUCCUGGACUUCUGCGAGGAUCACCACAUCCGGGUGGACUGGGCCGCCGUGGCUCACCCCAUGACGAAUGGGCAAGUAGAGCAUGCCAACGGCAUGAUCCUGCAAGGGCUCAAGCCGCGGAUCUACAACGACCUCAACAAGUUCGGCAAGCGGUGGAUGAAGGAACUCCCCUCGGUGGUUUGGAGCCUGAGGACAACGCCGAGCCGAGCCACGGGCUUCACACCGUUCUUUCUAGUCUAUGGGGCCGAGGCCAUCUUGCCCAUAGACUUAGAAUACGGUUCCCCGAGGACGAGGGCCUACGCCGACCAAAGCAAUCAAGCUAAUCGAGAAGACUCACUGGACCAGCUGGAAGAGGCUCGGGAUAUGGCCUUACUACACUCGGCGCGGUACCAGCAGUCCCUGCAACGCUGCCACGCCCGAGGGGUUCGGUCCCGAGACCUCCAGGUGGGCGACCUGGUGCUUUGGCUGCGACAAGACGCCCGAGGGCGGCACAAGCUCACGCCUCCCGGGGAAGGGCCGUUCGUCAUCGCCAAAGUUCUAAAGCCCGGGACGUACAAGCUGGCCAACAGUCAAGGCGAGGUCUACAACAACGCUUGGAACAUCCAACAGCUACGUCGCUUCUACCCUUAAGAUGCUUUCAAGUUGAUCAGAUCUUGACAGUUGAAGGGAGCAGCAGCACCCUCGGCAUCAACUACACCUUCGGCGAGGUCCAACCUAGCCUCGGACGGCGAAGCAGUCGGAGAAUCUCCACUCUGAAGGACGACAUCAGCACCACGCCCGGGCCAUCGCUGCCAGGGUCUUCUCCAGGAAUCCGGCCUGAGCAGACGGCUCGGCCGGCCACCCCGAGGUCUCGGCCAGCUGCCUCCCGAAGACAUCGGCUUGGUUUGUGGCCUCGGCAACUCAACUCCGGCGUCGGUCCCGCCAGCGGACGACCCGGCCAGGCUCCGGCCGACCAAGUCUUCUUUUCAAAGCCAACUCUUCCUCUGUUCGAGCUGACACCGCUACCCCCGGCUUCGGCUCAUCGAAGAGCGGCCGAGGGGUUCCUUUAACUAAGCAAGAGAAGCCUCGGACAGCAAGGCCGACCGAGCCGAGGGACUCCUACGCCUCCGGGAUACGGAUACCUCACUCGUCACCUUUGCACGAGACAACUCACACUUGGUGAAGCGGUUUAGAUAGCCAGCAGGCGAGUCUUAGUGCUCGAAAUGAAGAAAAAACACGGCUCCGCGCCAAAAAUACACACAUGUUCAGGCCCCGACAGCCACAAUGAACAAAAACACCGGCAUUCAAGAUGCCAUUACAAACAGAACUUCGGUUCCACCUCCGCAGGUACGAACAACCCCACACGAUUGGCGGGCCUGCGGAGCAACAGAAGGCCGACAGACGGCUCACCGUCGCCCGCUCCAGCAGCAGCGACAACGACCCCCGCUACGGGUGGCCGAACUGCAGCAGCGAUGGCCUUAGGGCGGACGCUGCUGCAACCUUGCCCUCGCCCACGCCGACACUCGAGGGGCGAGGAGAAGUACAAAGAGCCGGAGGCCCGAAGCGCGGAUGGUGGCGGUGAUCCCAUCAACGACGGGGACUUCUCGAGCCGCCCCCACCUCGGCACCAACUACAGGAGCCGUCAGCCCACCGGCAGAUCCCCACUCAGAUCCUCCCGGACGAGUGGAGCACCGACCUCCGCGCGGAGGCGCCGUACCGGUGCAAAGGCAGGACAGCCCCAGAACAUGAACGCCGCCCUAGCAGCGCGCGACGUCUUGGGCGGUCCUCCCGUGCGCGCGGCGCGACAACCGCCCUUGCGGCAGGAGGGGGCACCGGUAGCCAAGCCGGCGAGCCCAACGCGCUGAAGCUGACGACGCCCGCCGUCGACCAGCCCCGCGUUGUCGAAGUCCGCCCCUCUCGCAGGGCCAGUGAGCGCCCUCUCCCUCGAAUGCUGAAGGAGAGGCUGACCCACGAACCCGUGCGGGAGGUAGAGCUCCGGCUCAGCCCGGCCUCCGCCCCAGCGAGGAUGAUGAACAUCCUUGAAGCUGAGGGCGGGACCAAGAUCGCAGCCCGGCUUGCUUCUCCCCACCCAGGGGCUGGUGGUCACCGUCUUGGGUGACCACCGGCGAGGGGAUGCAGCCGGGCUGACUGAUGAAAAUCCUUGAAGCCGAACGAUGGCUGAAAGGUACCAACUUCCACGAAGUUGUGUUCCUCCAACGACAAGGCGGAAGGAUUGCGGGUGUCCCCCAUCUGGGGGCUCGGAAGGUGGAAAGACACGGUGCAUAAGGGAGUGCGAAGACAUGGUCGCCUUUCAAGGGGGUCACCCUCCUUUUAAAGGUGACUCUCCCUACUUGCGUCCCUAGCCGUCGUGGGCUGAGUCUUCUCCAACACGCUCCAAGGUCCUCCCCUUACGGCGCGGGGGCUGGGUCCCACGCGUCAUGCAAGCUGGCCCAAGGCAGAAGAAGCCAAACCGCCGCGCGCGGUGCAUGCAACUGCCCAACGGUUACAAGCAUUCCUCUACUUUCGCCCAGACCAGCGGGUGAAAGGGCGGACAGCCAUGCAGUCGGCACGCAACCGCGCCAAGUGGGUGCACCCCUCCGACUUCCAACGCACCCAGCAUGGAGGCCCAGGCCCACGCGUCAUGCAACCGGCGCGCCGGUCGCUACGUGCGAGCAACUGCACCGCCACUCGCACCACUACCACGCCUCCUCGACUGCGGAACCAGUACCGCGACUCGAGGCAACCCUGCGUACGACCCAGCAGUGCCAGUCAGGCGCGACGGUCAAUACGGCCAAAAAUGGGCCAGCAGCAAUGGCGGUGGCAAGCGGGCAGGAGCAGCGGUCACGUCGUCCGCCAAGCUCACGUCACCUCGUGGGACAGCGAGAGAACCCUCUCUCACGGCGUGAAGACGACGCGCCUGUGUUCCGUUCCUCGAACGGCUCACGCACGUGCAACGGCCAUCUUGCGAACCACUCGCCCCGUCGCAUUAACUCCACGGCGGGACAGACGGCGCCUCAGGCAGGAGAAGCAAGCGACGCUUCGCCUUCGCCAUAAUGACCGCGUCAAAAAAGGUACGCCACGUCAUUCGAUUUCGUAUCCUUUUCCUUUUCCUCUUUCUCUCUCUUACAACGGGGACCGGGAAAGGGGGAUACCCCGAAAAGGAUCCUUAUCCGUGAAGGAAACAGGCCCGAGCCUCCCUACUGAUCAGAGGUUCAAAGGCUGGCCCCUCGGAGGGGUUUAACAGCCGCCUCAGAGCACUUGGGUUCCACGCCCACUACUGGUCAGAGGUUCGAAGGCCAGCCCCUCUGAAGGGUUCAACGGCCGCCUCAGGGCACUCGGGCUCCGCGCCCACUACUGAUCAGGGGUUCGUAGGCUGGCCCUCGAAGGGUUCACAGCCGCCUCAGACACAAAGCGAGGGAUGACCCUGGGUACGUUCGAUACAUAACCAAGGCUCGGGCUACGCUCCCGAGGUACCCUAGGACAUUUCCGAGACCAACGGGAACGAUCUUGUAACGGAAUCCCAUCAGAGGGAGGCAUCGAACCCUCGGACCCCGUCGAAAGGGGACCGGGUCCAGCAGAUCACCCGUAGGUACUUUUGGAGCGCGCCUCCGGGCCUCUAGCUGACCCUUAACAAAUGGGGCACGGGCGUCCACUCGGAUUACCCGUCAUCAGCUCACCGGAGACACCAUGUUCGGCGCCCUCCAAGGGCAACAUGGCGCUUUCCCCCCUCCUCCUUGCGGAAAGGCGACGCAGGGGCGUAUGUAAAAAAGUCGAGUCUGUCCUUGACCGUCCUCUCGCCCUGUGCAGAGGCUCGGGGGCUGCUCCCGCAAACCCGGCUCCGGCCAAACCGUUGACAGCGUCAACAUACCAGCCCGAGAACUUGGGACCCGACCGUGCACCCGGGCUACGGCCAGCUCGCAUGAGGGAACAACCAGACCAGCCGAAGCAUUGCGCGAGGCAUUAAGACCUCGAAGGAGUAAAACCACUCCUCCGAGGCCUCGGGGGCUACACCCGGCGGGUGCGCUCGCGCGCACCCACCGGAGCAAAACGCAACCGAGAAAGGCUGGUCCCCUUGCAAAAAAGUGCGACAAAAGACUCCAAGCGAGUAUUAACACUCCCUUCAAGGCUCGGGGGCUACUGUCGGGGACCAUAAUUAGGGGUACCCUCAAGGCUCCUAAAUCUCAGCUGGUAACCCCCAUCAGCACAAAGCUGCAAAGGCCUGAUGGGUGCGAUUAAGUCAAGGAUCGGUCCAUUCGAGGGACGCGAUCACGCCUCGCCCGAGCCCAGCCUCGGGCAAGGGCAGCCAACCCUGGAGGAUCUACGUCUCGCCCGAGGCCCCCCUCCAGCAACGGACACACCUUCGGCUCGCCCGAGGCCCAGUCUUCACCAAGAAGCAACCUUGGCCAAAUCGCCACGCCAACCGACCAAAUCACAGGGGCAUUUAAUGCAAAGGUGGCCUGACACCUUUAUCCUGACGCACGCCCUCCAGUCGACAGAGCCGAAGUGACCGCAGUCACUUCGCCGCUCCACUGACCGGUCUGACAAGAGGACAGCGCCGCCUGCGCCGCACCGAUUGCAGAGCCGCACGAUAGAGUGAGGCUGACAGCAGCCAAGUCCGGCCCUAGGCGCCAUGGGAAACUCCGCUCCGCCCGACCCCAGGGCUCGGACUCGGGCACAGCCCCGGACGACGACGAACUCCGCUCCGCCCGACCCCAGGGCUCGGACUCGGGCUCAGCCCCGGAAGACGACGAACUCCGCUUCGCCCGACCCCAGGGCUCGGACUCGGGCUCAGCCCCGGAAGACGACGAACUCCGCCUCGCCGGACCCCCGGGCUCGGACUCGGGCUCAACCCCGAAGGACGACGAACUCCGCUUCGCCCGACCCCAGGGCUCGGACUCAGCCCUGGCAUCAGCCGACGGUCUCCGCCUCGUCCGACCCGCGGGCUUGGACUCGACCUCGACCUUGGAAGACAGACUCAACCUCGACCUCGGAGGAGCCUCCACCUCGCCCAAACUAGGGCACGGACCGACCACGUCAACAGGAGGCGCCAUCAUUACCCUGCCCCAAGCUGACUCAGGCUACGGGGAACAAGACCGGUGUCCCAUCUGGCACGCUCCGCCAGACAAGUAAUGAUGGCGCCUCGCACGCUCUAUGAUGAUGGCGGCUCUCCGCCCCCUUACGGAAGCAAGAGGACGUCAGCAAGGACUCGACAGCCCCGACAGCUGUCCUUCCGCCGGGCUCCAGCGCUCCUCCGACGGCCACGACACCACACGAACCGGGUGCCAAAACCUCUCCGGCUGCCACGAUGGCAUGUACUUAGGGCGCUAGCUCUCCUCCGCUAGACACGUUAGCACACUGCUACACCCCCAUUGUACACCUGGAUCCUCUCCUUGCGCCUAUAAAAAGGAAGGACCAGGGCCCUCUUACAGAGGGUUGGUCGUGCGGGGAAGGACGGGACGGCGCUCGCGUGAGGCCGCUCGCUCCCUCCCCCGUGGACGCUUGUAACCCCCUACUGCAAGCGCACCCGACCAGGGCGCGGGACAAACACGAAGGCCGCGGGAUUCCACCUCUCACGCCCGUCUCCCUCCGGCUGCCUCCCCCCUUCGCGCUCCGUCUCGCGCCGACCCAUCUGGGCUGGGGCACGCGGCGAUCAUUUACUCGUCGGUCCAGGGACCCCCCGGGUUUCGAAACGCCGACAAAACCAAAACUUGGCACCUGUCAGAUUUACUCUUUUCAAAUGUUGAAUCCAUCAUGGCCAUGAUGGAUUCACCAUCACAAGCUUUUUAUAAAAUUUCCCUUAUCCAGUGUGAAGCAUCAUCUUUUAAAACAAAAGCCUUUUUAUUAUCUAAGCAGAAUUAGGUAACAAGGAAUGAUAUUCAAUAUUCCAAGGAAGGAAAUGGAUCAAUAGUUUAGUUACACAACUCAUAUCACCUAAUGCAUCAUUCAAAGGUGAUAAAAUUUGUAAAAAUAAGGAAAAAGGAUAAAUGCACUAGGGUUGCCUUGUGUUGUAGGAGUAUCUAGUUCUUCCCCACAGAUGUCAAAAUAAAGAUUGUUGUCCAUAGGAGGAUCUUCAGAUAAAAGGACCACUUCUUCUACAGCAAGUUCACCUUCGUGUUCUACAUGUAAUAACGAGUAUGAAUGCUUACGUUAUGCCAUGAACAUGCAAACUUGUGUAAAUGACAUUCAUAAGAACUCCAACAUCAGGAAAUAGUUUAAACUAGUUCUCUAAUAUGUAAACCUAUUCUUAUUUCUUAUUACAAGGUUAUUCCUUUUGGGCUAGAACAUGUCCUUUGUCCAAACGGUCUCUAAACAAGUUAAAACUUUACUCAGAGGCUAGAACAAACAUAUUAAGUCUACUCAAAAGUUUUCAUGAUUUUUGGAAUUCCAAUUGUAUUUCUAAAAUUCAAAUAAACCUAUAAUAGGUACUUUUUAAUUCUAGAUAAUUUAUGUUUUGCAGUAAAAUCAUAAAAAUAUUUUUACCAAAAACAACUACAUUAUAGGAAUCUAGUAAAAUUGGUUUCAUUAUUUUACCAUUUUUCUACUGUUUUUAUGGCAAAUUAACCAAGUCAUCAGGUGAAAGAAAAAGAAACUAUGAACAACCUUGGGUCGAAAUCGACCUGCCUCGGCCUAUGAACAGAGGAGUAUGCGUGCACCCACACUAUAGAUGUCCAAUAAGCACGAGGCCCGCGAGCCCGGCACGAAGCCCGCUUUUUGGGCCCGGUCUGAGCCCGGCACGGCCCGGUUAUAUGCGGGCCCGGGCCGGCCCGGCACGAAUAAGCGGGCCGGACUCGGACAGGAAAUUAGGCAAGGUGGGCUAGCCCGGCACGGGCCGUUUAGCUCUAAGCCCGUUAAGCCCGCUUUUUUACACUAAAACGUGCUUUUCGGCCCGCAUAGCCCGCUUUCGGCCCGCUUUUUUCGUGCUAAACGGGCCGGCCCGGCCCGUUUAGGCCCGUUGCGGGCUGGGCUCGAACAAGAAAUUGAGCCCGCGUGCUUAGCCGACCCGGCCCGGUUUUUUAAUCGUGCCUGGCGGGCCGGGCCCAAAACGGGUCGGGCGGCCCGUUUGGACAUCUCUAACCCACACUAGCGUUGUGCACUUUGAGCAAAGGCCCCUGGCGGUUCAAGCAACCCGAGAUAAGUCCACAACACUAUUCAUUGUGUCACUGACAUGUUCACUUAAGUCCUUCCCUUUUCUAACCUUCGCAAACUCAAGUCUACGAUGACACCGCGCUCACCCGCCGGCCAUCCCUCGCCUGGACUCGCCGCGGACGGUGAGGACCAACAAAACCGAGCACCUGUCGACCAUCCCGAGUCUAGGCGGCACUAUGCCCAACACUAAUUGAACCAAUCCGACUCAGGAAGCCCUCUUCCCACGACGACGACGACAGAGCUAGAGCUCUAGCGAGGUCGUUCUCGACGACACAACGCGGUAGCGAUCAAUCACAAAGCAUGGCGAGCUUCAGUAACUUAUGGGACAAAUGUAACAACGGGCAAAAAGACUGAAAAGGGAAAAGAAUGUAGAGUUCAAUCGGCAAGGUUCACAAGAAAACAAAGAUCAUAGGGAUACUAAAACACGAGCCACGGAGGGUCAAGCUCACCUCAGGAGCUCUCGCCAAGGUGGAGCACCUCACCGUGGCGACGACGAACGAUUCUAGGGAAAUAUAAUGACUCCGAGCUAUGGUGGAUGAGAAAGGAUGGCUGAGGGUAGACUAGGAAUGUAACAGAGGGGCGGAGCAGGGAGAGCACUCGAUUUAAAGGGAUUUGCUACGGACGCCACGAAUUUGGAUGAGAUCAACCAUGGCUGUGACGAGAUAUUUCACUGAGGCUUGUUCACCGUGGCACGCUGCAAUGCGAUGGCUCAGGAAUGACAGUUUACUGCUUGCCACGAGCACAGAACAUGGUGAAACCAAACUCUGCAGGGCAUAUCAAGGGUGAACGGUAAAUUCACGAUGGCGAGCUCAUGGUCGUGAUGCAAGGCAAGUGGCACGGCUGUUAGUUCCCAAAUUCACCACCCCUCGAUCUUUUCAUCCCUUUGUUGUUAUCCACUUCAAACAUUGCAUGAAUCUCCGCUGCGGUAACACCCUAAGUCCAUCAAUUAAGGUAACCUAGAUUAAAUUAUUAAUUUCUUGUAGAAAGGAAAAUAUUUAUGUUUACAAAUAAUGAAAUGGUGAUAUAAAUAAAUCGAUCAAUCUCUUAGAAUAUAAAAUUUUACAAAGUGUUUGAUGCAUUCAUGCCGAAGCAUAGAUUUCGUUUGAAUUGAUUUUCAAAUCAAAUUCUUAGAUUUAAUUGUGUGAGAAAGAUCGUGUUUAAUAAAAUAAUAAUGAGUUGUUGAAAUUUUUUUGGACUAUGCAUUUUGAUAAGUUAUUAACUUUUGUUUGAAAUUAUUUGCAAGAAUCCCAUUUUAUAGACUGAUCUCUUUUUUUUAAAGCUCACUUCAUCUAAUUAUUGGAAUUGUCCUAAAAUAAUUUGAAUAUUUUCAAAAUAUAUAUUUUAUUUAUGUAAAUAUUAUAUUUGGUUUUAUUAUAUUUUUUGGAAUAUAUACAUCUAAUAUAUAUUCUUUUAUUUAAAAAAGAAAGAAAAGAAAUUCGAAAUAAAAAAUAAAAAAAACGAAAACCUAACUACUCUGCAUGCUCGAGCCGCUUGCCCAUUCCAGCCCAAAUGCCUGACGCCCAGCCUUCUCAUUUUUUUUUCUCGUUUGUUCCAUUGACCGAUGGGCCCCACUCAACAUUUCUUCCUUGUGGCUCCUUCUCCUGUUGGCUCUACGAACGGAAGCGCAGCCGCCGUCGCUCCAUGUCCAGUUGCACACCACGCUCGGCACCAGGGCUCUCCACGGCCACUCAUGGAAGGCUCGACCCGGUCCUCUCCUCCACUGUGGCACUGCGACGACAGUUUCUUCCAUCCCUAACUCUAUUCGUUUCAGCUCCCACCAUUAACGACGUCGGCAGUUUCUAUUCCACAACAUCAAUGGUGCUCGUCCCUCUCAUCAUCGACGUCUUCUCCCCUCCCUCCCCUGUGGCUAUAUAAGCCGAUGCUGGCCACACUCCCCACCCUGCCCCAGCUACUCGUCUCACCUCCACUGCCACCCACCUGCUCCCAUGUCAUCCUAGCCAAGUCCCUUUCAUCGGCCAUCAGGGUCGUACCAGAGGGGGUGCGGAGGGUGCGGCCGCACCGAGCCCCCAAAAACAGAGAGCCCCUUAGUCACUGGACGUUAGCACUUUUUCCUAUUAAACAUAUCUAUUCUAAACACAAAUAUGCAAAGAGCGAUGCGCUAUCGAUCAGUUUCGUUUAGAUUGUUAAACUAAUGUCUCAAUUACUUAUCGAAUACUCCAUCUCUUUCAAAAUAAUAUUUGUUUUAGCUCUUGAUUUUUAUGUUUAUAUUCAACUAUAUAAUGAUGAAUCCACUAAAGAAGCAAAACAAAUUCUAUUUUGAUAUGGAGAGAGUAUUAUUUACUAUACACAUGAUGGUUGCAUCGACAGAGAGAAGCUUUUUAAAAUUGAAAUAUUUUUGAACUAUUUAUGGUCAACUAAACUCAAUAGAGGUUAAAUGGCUUGCCGAUUCUAUAUAUCGAAAAAAGUUGUUGGAUGAGAUUGAUCUCAAUAAUAUAAAUGAUGACUUUGUAUCACAAAAUGUUAGAAGAUAUUUUUAAUAAUAUCAUAUAACAAGUAAGUGUUUUUGGCUAUAUUUUACAUUUGUUAUCUUAUAAACUUUAAAACAGUGCAUAAUAAUUUUUAUACGUCAAAUAUUCGAUACUACAUGUAUAAUUAUAUAUAUUUGUGUAUGGAUAAGGCCUCCAUAUCGGAUUUCACACUGGGCCCCCGAAAAGUCAGGAACGGCCCUGCCGGCCAUGAACUUGAUGGCACAGCCUCGCCCUCGCUUCGCCCUGCUUGCUGCUCGCCCGCCGUGUCGAGUGCUUGACGCCGCUCUGCGCCCUCAUCAAAAGUUGUCCGCCUGCAACCUCGCCGGAGCGCUCCUCACCAGUGACUACCCACACCGCAUCCAGAGGUCCUUUGUCGCCAAAGGCCUGUGCCUUUCUCUACAUGUUAGUGUUUGCUGUUGCGGUCUCGUGCUGCGCUGCGGUGCUGCUUGCCGUCGCUGGAGGCCGUGCCGUGAACUCGCUGGAGCUCGUCCAGUGCACCUGCUCACAGAUGCUAUGUUUUUGACAUUCAAUGACGCCGAAGAUUCUCACCUCCGCGUCGUUGUUCCUGGUUCCACAUCACGACCUCGCGCCGACACCCUGCUCCUGUGUUGUUCUGCUCUUCGAAGGUAGAAGACAUGGCCUUCUUGCAAUCUAGCCCUUUUUUGUGGUCUAGAUAUAAAUAAAUGAUUUUUUGUGUUGUUUGCUACAUAAAUUCGUGCGAAAUAUUAGUGCCAGCAUCAAUGUACAUAUUUUCGUAAUUUCAUUUAAAUUAUGGUUAUUAUAAUUGCUUUGUGUAUAGUUUUAUAAAUAAGAAAUUAAAUCGAAUUAUAACCUUAUGUUUUAUAACAAAGAAAACAAGAGAUAAUUAUUUAUAACGAGACAUGUAUAGAAAAAUAUAAAUGUAUUAGCUACCACUAGCUGGAUUUAAUUACGUAAUUUUGAUUAUUUGGAAUCUAAACAAUUUAGAAAUAGUUCAAUUAAUUUCAUAAUUAUGUGAUUAACAAUUUCAAUUGAUAUCUACACUGGUUUUCGUAUUUUUCGUAAUUUAAAUUAGAGUUAUGUUUUUGUUAACAACAAAUUUAAAAGGUAGCACAUAUGUUUUAUCAACAAAAAUAUAAUAUAGUCAUUUAUUUAGUUAAAUAUCUUUGUUCAUAAAAUAUAAUUUAGUUUCAUGUUCUAUUUCGAUAUAUAUAAGUACAUUGCCUAGAAUUUUAUAAAAAUGAUAGUUUAUACAGUUUCCUUUCAAAUGAUUUAGAUCAUAUGUGCCUAAAUUAAAACUAAAUAUAAUUAAUAGAUUAAUUAUCUUUUCUCAUAAUUUAUUAAUUAGACUUAUAUUUCAAUUUGUCCAUAACUAGUAAUAUAGGCGUGAUUAAUACGUUCAUCAAAUUGAAUCCAUAAUAUUUAUAUAUACUACUUAGUUUUUCCUAAAGGAUAAAAUAAAGAAAUUUGUGUUCAUGUUCUUUAUAUAAUUAAAAUGUUAGUUUAUAUGUUGUUUUGUAUAUGACUUUCUUAAUAAAAAUAGAGUCUAGUGUUUUCUUAAGCAAAAGUGAAUAUAAUUAAUUGAUUAAUUAUCUGUUGCAUAAAAACCUAUCUAGGCCAUUUAUUUUCUUAAUGAAAUUUAAUAUAAUUAUCAUUUUAAUUUCCCUUCCACAUAAAACUCGAUUAGGCUUAUAUAAUAACUUUUCAUUAAUAAUUGUUUUACAAUAUAUUUUGUAAUGUUUCAUAAAUCAAUGUUUAAUAUGUUUCAUAACUCAUUAACCAUAGACAUAUAGCAUAUAUAUUUUCUAAACGGUUAAAAGGUUUAAUAAUGUUAUAAUGUGCUUUAUCAUCUUAUGAACCCUUAAUCUUAGACAUACCACAUAUGACUUUUAUAAAAUACUAAAUUGGUAAACCUAAUAUUUGUAUAUUUUAAGAUAUAUUCAAGCUUAGGUCUUGUUUUAUAAAGUAUAGAUCACACCUUUUCAAAAAGGAAUACCUUUUAAUAUAACCAUUGUUUGUGAUGUUUUGAAAAAUAAAUGCUCUUUUGUUAUGUUUUUCUUUUAGCUUGGUCUAUGAUGAAUGUUUUAUGUUAUUGAGUGGUGUUUGUUUCUUCUUGUUUGUUUGUGUGAUAUUCAGUGGUUGAUCUAGUAGUUGAGAAUCAAGAUCUAUUUUGUGGAAUAAUGUCAAGUUUUCUAUAAGCAAGGCAAGUGGACUUCUCCCUCUACAUAUUCUGUCUGAUCCCAUACAAUACAUUUAAUAAAGUUUACUUUUGGAUAUAUGCAUAAUUUGAUGGGUUACCUAUUUAGGUACCCUUCACCUUUCCAACCUUAUUCCUUGUUUAACCUGGGAUUACUAUUUAAUCAAAUAGCUAUGCUAUUGCUACCAAUUUAUUUUUAUUAUGUCACUCUUUAAUCAUAUCAAUGUUCCAAAUGGUAAGUUUACAGUAUUGUUGUUAAUCCAAUGAUUAAGCAAGAUCAUAUUGUGAUAAUUGGAACAUGGAGUGACCACCCAGGAAAACAGUGCAACCACGAGUGCUAUCAUGGCUCUGGCUUUGGUAAUUAGCUUUAUAUGCUUAGUGCCUAGCAACCUUACCUGAAAUAUGGGCAAGAGGGGGAGCGACAGUGGUGGGAGCUCACGUUAACAUGGGGACGUAUUCUUGGCUAAGGUACCUCACCCAGAGGGCCUCCACUCCGACUUGGAAACCUUAGCGGGUUGCUUUGUAUUAAGUGUAUUCUGUGAAAGCCUCAUAGUGGAUCCCUAGCCAUUCACCUCGGAAGUGUUUACGGGUUUGGCCGACCCAUGCUAGAGGGGAUACACGGCUUGUGGGUAAAGUUGUACCACCUCUAUAGACUGUAAAACUGAUAUAUCAGUCGUGCUCACGGUUAUGAGCAGCCUGGACCCUCACAUGAUAAUCAAACUUGAAGAUGAAAAUAAAUCAUGGACCUUUAUGGUUCAAGUGGUUAUGAGCUUAUGCUGAUUAUGAAUUAUGCUUAAUUGGGUUUGGUAUAUACUUAUACCUAGUAAUCAGGUGUUGAUAAUAAAAUGUUGACCAACUAAAAUGCUAACCGCAUUAAAAUUUAGCCUUACCUUGUUACCUUGCAUUUUCACCCCACUUACUGAGCCCCGACCAUAAGUGAGCUCACCCUUGCUAAAUUUUUGAUCAGAAGUUUGCAGAUGAAGAUAUGAUGCCGAACUCCAUGGAUGCUAGUCUAGUGAUACCCCCAGUCAUCUUCCUGUGGAAGGAUGUCCAUGUUUCGCUGUACUUUGAUGAAUAAAGGUUAAGACUUCAUGUCUGUUCGAAGUGUAAUAAGUUAAUAUAAUCUUUAUUUACACUUUUAUGCAUUGUUCUUUUGAUAUAUUACACUUGUGACGUCAACAUAUGUGUGAAAAUAGAUCCUGGCACACAUAUGCUAUGCAUUCGGUUUUGCCCUUGAAACCGAGUGUGACAGCUGCGAGCUUGGAUCACAACGCAAGAUCAUCGGCAGUGAUGUACACUAAAUCCGCGCGAAUCUUGUUCAGUUAUUGAAAAGUCUGAACUAUCCCCCUUCGAGCUAAUUGACAAAGAGAGUUUGAGGGCAUUUUACUCCCAUUCUUGCACAGCACCAAGUCCAACUCAGUAUAGAUAAUUUGUGCACCAAUGUAUGGUCUUGAACUUUACUAUAGUGACCAUGGCAAAGCUCCAAAGUUGUGUAAAAGUCACUGCAAAUUUCAGUUUUAGAACACUUCUUGUCUGACAGCCCCACUUUAUGUGUGUUUUCACUAAGUUCCAUGUAGUUUUAGCGCUAGGCCACUUAAUCAAAUUGGCACUACUAUAGUGUCUCUACAACUUUUUCUAUGACUACUUUUUACAAAACACUUAUGGAUUAGAAGUUACAAGGGUUCAAACUUUUCUCAUUGUCACUGUUUUUCAGAGCUCAAAAUUGAGGCACUUGUGAACUCUUGCUAUUUUCUCCAAACUUUUCCACAAAACUUGGAAAUCUCCAAAUGAGGAAGUUAUUGGGCUCUCAAAACUCUACAACUUUGAUAUAUGGACCUUUUCCAAAAAUUGGCUAGAUCUUAAAACCUCAUUUGGGUAUCUAAUUAGGGUUUUGGAGCUCUUAAUCACCUCUAAGUGCUCUAACUUUACUAAUCCUCACCCCUUAAGUAUGACUACCAAACUCAAACAAGAUCACUCCUUUAUGCUUAAGUCACAAGACCACUUGUUACUAACCCAUGAGGUGCUUCACCCUACUAGCUUAAGUAAUACUCUUACUAAGCCAUAUACUACACUAACAUCACAUCACAUGUUUUCUUGAUGUUUUAGCCAAGUAAAUGCAUUCUAGGUGUAUCACCACAAAAUGAUGCUAGUGCACAUGAUGAUAUGUCAGGUUUUAGUUCUUGUAACACCAAGGGUGUUAUAAUAAAUUACAUUGUUUAUAGAGUGAAUUUUGAGAUAGGGGAUGUGAUAGAAUAGCUGCUCAAGACAUCCUCGAGCCCUUAAUAUUAUGGUAUAUAGGAAUACUAUAAUAGUCUAAGUUAAAUGAUGUUUGGUUGAACAUAAAAAUAUAUGGUUUCAAUAACUUGAUUUAGUUAAUACUAUGAUAUUUUUAUGGUACUUAUUACUUCACUCAAACCAGACCAAAAGUUCUAUCUCGGUCACUACAUCGCGCACUCUUUUUUCCCGUACUCCCACGUGGAUGUCGUGGGACCUUUUCUUUUCACUUUCUUACCAUCUUGUAGUCUUGCCACUACCACCAGGGUGUUUCCAUCACCAUGUCACCACCUCAUCCACACCAUCCAUGCAAGUCGGUAUGCGAUUUCGUCCUCCUCUUCGUUCCUUUAUCAUUGAACUUGGAUUGUCCCUCUCUUUUCCUCGAUUAGAUCAACAAAGCGAUAAAAAUAUAGGGGAUUGGUGCACCAAUCUGGCCACCGGUGAACUAUACUCUUGGGCAUCUAUGAGUUCGUUUGUGUCCAUGUCCUGACCUAAUACGACAAUCAUCUCCCUUGCUUUUUUCUAUAGAAAGUGCUUCAUGUACAAUCCACCCAUAUGACUGAAAUACAACCAACUUUAAUAUAAGGUUGCGGUUGUCUCUUGUUCUGAACUAAUGAAUCAUAAGCCAUUAGAUGACUCUAGCCCUACCUAAGUCUGCCUCUGGAAUCGUAUGUGUGGCAGCGCUCUUUUCCUAUAAUACGAGUAGACAUAGUAGGUUCAUAUCGCAUGGUGUCCCUCCUUCCUGAUAUGUCCUAACAUACCAUGCAUGCCUAAUUCAAGCCAGC